RNAcentral lists this ribosomal RNA (305 nucleotides) under uncultured bacterium. RNAcentral describes it as "partial 16S ribosomal RNA". It matches the Rfam family "Bacterial small subunit ribosomal RNA", at positions 508 to 807 of the family's 1533-position model. The record is from RNAcentral.
ACAGCAGUCGCCGCGGUAAUACGAAGGGUGCAAGCGUUAAUCGGAAUUACUGGGCGUAAAGCGUGCGUAGGCGGUGAGUUAAGUCUGCUGUGAAAUCCCCGGGCUCAACCUGGGAAUGGCAGUGGAUACUGGCUCGCUAGAGUGUGUCAGAGGAUGGUGGAAUUCCCGGUGUAGCGGUGAAAUGCGUAGAGAUCGGGAGGAACAUCAGUGGCGAAGGCGGCCAUCUGGGACAACACUGACGCUGAGGCACGAAAGCGUGGGGAGCAAACAGGAUUAGAUACCCGCGUAGUCCCUGUCUCUUAUAC